RNAcentral lists this ribosomal RNA (253 nucleotides) under uncultured bacterium. RNAcentral describes it as "partial 16S ribosomal RNA". It matches the Rfam family "Bacterial small subunit ribosomal RNA", at positions 524 to 776 of the family's 1533-position model. The record is from RNAcentral.
UACGGGGGGGGUAAGCGUUGUUCGGAAUUACUGGGCGUAAAGGGCUCGUAGGCGGCCAACUAAGUCGGACGUGAAAUCCCUCAGCUUAACUGGGGAACUGCGUCCGAUACUGGAUGGCUUGGAUUUGGGAGAGGGAUGCGGAAUUCCAGGUGUAGCGGUGAAAUGCGUAGAUAUCUGGAGGAACACCGGUGGCGAAGGCGGCAUCCUGGACCAAUAUUGACACUCAAGUGCGAAAGCGUGGGGAGCAAACAGG